RNAcentral lists this ribosomal RNA (518 nucleotides) under uncultured bacterium. Its description in RNAcentral is "bacterial SSU rRNA". It matches the Rfam family "Bacterial small subunit ribosomal RNA", at positions 8 to 518 of the family's 1533-position model. The record is from RNAcentral.
AGGGUUCGAUUCUGGCUCAGGAUGAACGCUAGCUACAGGCUUAACACAUGCAAGUCGAGGGGCAUCGGGAAGAAAGCUUGCUUCUUGCCGGCGACCGGCGCACGGGUGAGUAACGCGUAUCCAACCUUCCCCUUAGUAGCGGAUAGCCCGGCGAAAGUCGGAUUAAUACGCUAUGUUAUCCGAAGAGGACAUCUGAAUUGGAUUAAAGAUUGAUCGCUAAGGGGUGGGGAUGCGUCUGAUUAGGUUGUUGGCGGGGUAACGGCCACCAAGCCUACGAUCAGUAGGGGUUCUGAGAGGAAGGUCCCCCACAUUGGUACUGAGACACGGACCAAACUCCUACGGGAGGCAGCAGUGAGGAAUAUUGGUCAAUGGGCGAGAGCCUGAACCAGCCAAGUAGCGUGCAGGAUGACGGCCCUAUGGGUUGUAAACUGCUUUUGCAUGGGAAUAAAGUCGGGGACGUGUCCCCGUUUGUAUGUACCAUGAGAAUAAGGACCGGCUAAUUCCGUGCCAGCAGCCGC